UUUUCAAUUCAAGUGGCUUCUAUGAAUCUACUUGUGUGUGCAGACAGCUGCAAUUGUACUAAGCUGAACAAGUUGUUGAUUGGCUGAUAUUGAAGCAUUAGGUGGUGAUUGUUUAAACUUGAUAAUGGCGUAAAAGUUCUUACCAAGUGUAUUGUUUGCAUCUUUGUUUAGGAAUACCUCUAGGCUAAGUGAUGUUCUAAAAUCCAAAAAUGAAGAAAAUGGGGCUUACUUAUCUGAAAUUGAGGCAUAUGAUGAUAUCAAAACCAAAGAUCUUUGCUAGGAGUUGCCUCUCAAAUACAAA
This is a long non-coding RNA of Juglans microcarpa x Juglans regia, 301 nucleotides long. RefSeq lists it as uncharacterized. Lineage: Eukaryota; Viridiplantae; Streptophyta; Magnoliopsida; Fagales; Juglandaceae. The record is from RefSeq and is a predicted model, not a curated record. The transcript is spliced from 3 exons.